GGUUAUCGAAGGUAUAAUUUGACCUUAAUUCAUAAUU
RNAcentral lists this non-coding RNA (37 nucleotides) under unclassified sequences. The record is from RNAcentral.